This 265-nucleotide ribosomal RNA is filed under the name uncultured bacterium. Its description in RNAcentral is "partial 16S ribosomal RNA". It matches the Rfam family "Bacterial small subunit ribosomal RNA", at positions 76 to 339 of the family's 1533-position model. RNAcentral also lists the same sequence under 1 other name. The record is from RNAcentral.
CUUGCUUUUGGUGUUUCUAGCGGCGGACGGGUGAGUAACGCGUGAGCAAUCUGUCUCAGACAGGGGGAUAACGCAGCGAAAGUUGCACUAAUACCGCAUAAGACCACAGAGCCACAUGGCAUAGGGGUCAAAGGAGCAAUCCGGUCUGAGGUGAGCUCGCGUCCCAUUAGGUAGUUGGUGAGGUAACGGCCCACCAAGCCUGCGAUGGGUAGCCGACCUGAGAGGGCGGACGGCCACAUUGGGACUGAGACACGGCCCAAACUCC